UAAUUGGUAUGUUUAUGGAACGUUCUACUUAUCACGUCAGGAACGUAUCCUUCGAUAACUGCAUCCCAAAAAAACGUGUUGCGUAGGUAUCUGACAAUCCGAAAAUUAUGAACUAUAAUCGUUGGAUAGUUUACGUAAAACAAAGCAAUUUAGGGUAUCAUUAAAAAUGCUUAUAAUUGAUUCAAUCUGACAGUAGUGACUGACACGCGGAAGCGAUCACACCGUGAAGAGCAUAUCACCCAGCCUACUGUGUAGUAACAACGAGAUAAUCAAACGUAGCAAACCACUAAUUUCCAACGCAUAUCUCAGAUCAAAAGCAUGUUUAGCACCCCUGCCUGCUCUCCGAACAUUCAACAUUCACCAAUCGCAUCGAGCAAAUCGAUUUCCCUACCGCGAAGAAACGCUCAAUUAUUGGAGCUGAUUUUUCUUUUGUACACAUUUUUGUAGGACUGUUUUUCUUCGCUUUGGAAACCACCAACGAACAACACCGAAAAAAUUGACGCUAUGCCGUAAUAGUGCAACGCGAAGCAGCCUGCUGUGAUGUGCAUCAACCAACAACAGCAACGAAAGGCGACGGAGGAGGCCGGUAGUGUGCCUUCGAAACUGAGCAGGCUGUGAGAUUGGGGCUCAUCAUCGCCAUCAGUGCCGCGGAACGUAUCUCGGCGCUGGCUCGUGACGUGAAAGUCGCGGUAAGAGUGGAUCGAAUUAACGCGUUUAGGAACCAUCACCUGGGCCGUGAUUUUACUCUGCCUCAAAAUUAGGGCCAUCUGUUAUCGCGGAGGAAACAAAAGGUUAAGUUUGAUUAUCGGUCGCAAACAAUCUCAACGCCCAUGCCAGCCGUAAACACCAGUCUCGAAUACUUUCACGGCCAAUUAGUAACACAGGUGGAAAUCGAAGCAAAAAAUUAAACUAUUUGUAAACAGAACCCUCUCGGAAGUCUAUCUCGGCGCCGCCAAUGGAUGAGGACGGACGACGACUCGACCGGAUACGAUCGGUGAGCGAGCAUCAUCCGGCAUGGUCUGGUGAGCGCUUGGAAUUGUGAGACCGUACAUGACGGCUACUGCAUCUGCAUACAAAAGUGAACCACAGACAAAUGGACGUGACACUGACGAAAGUUUCAUAAACCAUUACAAAUUCGCUAUGUUUUAAAACUCAAAA
This 1158-nucleotide long non-coding RNA is filed under the name Aedes aegypti (yellow fever mosquito). Its description in RNAcentral is "lncRNA AAEL023562". The record is from RNAcentral. Lineage: Eukaryota; Metazoa; Arthropoda; Insecta; Diptera; Culicidae.